GUGGGGAAUUUUGGACAAUGGGCGCAAGCCUGAUCCAGCAAUGCCGCGUGCAGGAAGAAGGCCUUCGGGUUGUAAACUGCUUUUGUACGGAACGAAACGGUCCUGGCUAAUAUCCGGGGCUAAUGACGGUACCGUAAGAAAAAGCACCGGCUAACUACGUGCCAGCAGCCGCGGUAAUACGUAGGGUGCGAGCGUUAAUCGGAAUUACUGGGCGUAAAGCGUGCGCAGGCGGUGCUGUAAGACAGGGGUGAAAUCCCCGGGCUCAACCGGGGAAUUGCGCUUGUGGCUGGAGUGCUGGAGUGCGGCAGAUGGGGAUGGAAUUCCAAGUGUAGCAGUGAAAUGCGUAGAUAUGCGGAGGAACACCGAUGGCGAAGGCAAUCCCCUGGGCCUGCACUGACGCUCAUGCACGAAAGCGUGGGGAGCAAACAGGAUUAGAUACCCUAGUAGUCC
This 450-nucleotide ribosomal RNA is filed under the name uncultured bacterium. RNAcentral describes it as "partial 16S ribosomal RNA". It matches the Rfam family "Bacterial small subunit ribosomal RNA", at positions 354 to 796 of the family's 1533-position model. The record is from RNAcentral.